Molecule: ribosomal RNA, 156 nt
Filed under: Solanum tuberosum (potato)
Lineage: Eukaryota; Viridiplantae; Streptophyta; Magnoliopsida; Solanales; Solanaceae
Description: rRNA 5_8S_rRNA
Rfam family: 5.8S ribosomal RNA
About the family: 5.8S ribosomal RNA (5.8S rRNA) is a component of the large subunit of the eukaryotic ribosome. It is transcribed by RNA polymerase I as part of the 45S precursor that also contains 18S and 28S rRNA.
Source: Rfam by way of RNAcentral
GACUCUCGACAAUGGAUAUUUCGACUCUCACAUCAAUGAAGAACGUAGCAAAAUGUGAUACUUGGUGUGAAUUGAAGAAUCUCGUGAACCAUCGAGUCUUUGACUGCAAGUUGCACUCGAAGCAAUUAGGUCGAGGGCACGUCUGCGUAGGUGAUA